CGCUGGCGGCGUGCCUAACACAUGCAAGUCGAGCGAGGAGAUCCUUCGGGAUGAUCCUAGCGGCGGACGGGUGAGUAACACGUGGGCAACCUGCCUCAUAGAGAGGAAUAGCCUUCCGAAAGGGAGAUUAAUACCUCAUAACAUUGCAGUUUCGCAUGGAACAGCAAUUAAAGGAGCAAUCCGCUAUGAGAUGGGCCCGCGGCGCAUUAGCUGGUUGGUGAGGUAACGGCUCACCAAGGCGACGAUGCGUAGCCGACCUGAGAGGGUGAUCGGCCACAUUGGGACUGAGACACGGCCCAGACUCCUACGGGAGGCAGCAGUGGGGAAUAUUGCACAAUGGGGGAAACCCUGAUGCAGCAACGCCGCGUGAGUGAUGACGGCCUUCGGGUUGUAAAGCUCUGUCUUCAGGGACGAUAAUGACGGUACCUGAGGAGGAAGCCACGGCUAACUACGUGCCAGCAGCAGC
This 466-nucleotide ribosomal RNA is filed under the name uncultured bacterium. RNAcentral describes it as "bacterial SSU rRNA". It matches the Rfam family "Bacterial small subunit ribosomal RNA", at positions 34 to 518 of the family's 1533-position model. The record is from RNAcentral.